This is a long non-coding RNA of Xenopus tropicalis (tropical clawed frog), 209 nucleotides long. RefSeq lists it as uncharacterized. NCBI's taxonomy places the organism in Eukaryota, Metazoa, Chordata, Amphibia, Anura, Pipidae. The record is from RefSeq and is a predicted model, not a curated record. The transcript is spliced from 3 exons.
AGCUUACAAUUGAUCUGACAGUUACACUGAGCUUCACUCCAGGGUUCUCUCUAGGUGUUCAUCCUCCUCUUCAGCUCUGCAAGGAUACAUAGAGAAUGCUCAGAAGCACAGCCCCCUGCAUGGCUAAAUCAGUGCCUGACCAGCGGCUACAUUAGUGGGCUCUACAUGUAACGGGGUUAGACAGAGACUUGCCCCCUAACAAUGAGGCU